This 77-nucleotide transfer RNA is filed under the name Vacuolonema iberomarrocanum LEGE 07170. Its description in RNAcentral is "tRNA-Leu". It matches the Rfam family "tRNA". Rfam says of the family: Transfer RNA (tRNA) molecules are approximately 80 nucleotides in length. Their secondary structure includes four short double-helical elements and three loops (D, anti-codon, and T loops). The record is from RNAcentral. Lineage: Bacteria; Bacillati; Cyanobacteriota; Cyanophyceae; Oculatellales; Oculatellaceae.
ACUGCUGUGGCCCAACUGGCAGAGGCAUCGGUCUUAAGAACCGACAGGUGUGGGUUCAAGUCCCACCAGCAGUACCA